Long non-coding RNA from Bombus terrestris (buff-tailed bumblebee), 2413 nucleotides. RefSeq lists it as uncharacterized. The transcript has 2 exons. NCBI's taxonomy places the organism in Eukaryota, Metazoa, Arthropoda, Insecta, Hymenoptera, Apidae. The record is from RefSeq and is a predicted model, not a curated record.
ACGAAGAAACAAGAGGCCGUGCGAAUCCUGGACGCAGCUGGAGGCCAAAGUGGAAGCUGGAAUCGGCCAUAUUUGGCCGGAGAGAGCACGAUCGAGGGAAGGUAGGGCUCUCGUCGAUCCGAGCAUCGCGAUUCAACGAGCGUGGAUGGAAGGGGGAAGCUCGAGCAGGGAUGAUGGGGGCUAGAACGUCGACUACGUUGGGGCGGGGUGCUUCGAAACCACCCCUGGUGCCUGGAAUAAUCCCUCGUAUAAAUUGGAUUGUCGGUAGAACGUGGAAACUGAACUCUACUGCAGCCAGAGUGGUCGGAAGAGGCGAGAGAGAGGUUGGUUGCAAAUAGAAGGGAAAAGGAAACUCGCGGUGCAACUCCUCCGGACGCACGUACAGUCCGCCACCUUCGCUCACACAACUGUGAAAACUCGUUCGCGAACGCACACGUUCGUAGUGGAGAAGGAUAGGUACAACGUAGGUUACACGAGGGGCGGCAAUUCAUACGCGCGCCCACCCUCACCCUCCGUGAUUUUGGCUUGUCUGCCGUCGCAACGAUUGCGGGGGUGGAAACGGUCGCUGGAUUAUGCUCGUCCGCGGUCGAACUCGCGUGCAACGGCGUGCAAUUAUGCACACGUUAUUGUGCCAGCACUCUCUCUUAUCGAGCUAAUGUCACCGCGCUCAAACUCCUUCCCUGCCAUUGACUAUAUCAGACAGGGGUGGCGCGGUGCACGUUUACUCUGCGAUGCCGUCAGAUUCCGUGCACUCUACCGUUUGCUAAAACGAGCUAAACCAAGGAUCUUCUAUUUUGUGCUCCGGUGAAUUUGAUCUGUGUGAUACGAUGAAACAACGAUAACUAAGUGAUGUUACGAUACAUAAUGAGGAUAUGUAGGAAGCAUUUUGUACAAUUAUAAUUCAAUGGUAUCAGGUUCUGUGUACCUUGUUUAUAGAAAAACUAGAGCUAGAAUAAGAAGAUUUUAUAUCGUGUAUUUGAUUUGUGUGAUACGAUCGAACAAUAAUAUUUAAAUGAUACUAUGAUACGCAUAACGAAGAUGUACAUAUAAACAUGUUGGCAACAAUUUGUAAAGUUGGUGGGUUUCUUAAGUGAAUCACUUAGUGAAUUGCAUUAGACGACUGUAAGAAGAAACGGUUGAGAAGAGGGAGCAAAGUGGUUGAAAAAUAUGUAAUUGGAGCUAUGUAAGUCGAUGGUAUAGCGAGUGGAAACUUGGAGGAGCGAAAAUGGAACUCAUCGCGGAAAUGGAAGGGAUUAAUCUCCAAAGAUGAUCUCCUGAAACAGAUAUCCGACGUACAAUUGGGAUGGUUCCGAGUUGUGACCGCUACAUCUUGUUACCGCGAGGUAAACGGGCGAUACGUGACGAUCACAGGGGGAACGCUCCGACAAAUAGCCAGGGCUGGUUGUUUACAAGACGCAGAAAGUUCCUCCGGCUGCGCGAUGAAACGCCCUACGCCUCGCAGAAAAAUGACAACUCAAUUUCGUCGACGGAGCUCUUGACACUCGGAGGCUGCCGGCGUUAUAUCUGCCAGCAUUGUUUCAGGGAGAAAGUCGAGCGUGCUUGCUUAAUUUCCCGUGCAGGUUCCAAAGAAUUGCUGCCUUAUUUCCAGACCGGCCGUUUCGCCGCACCUGCACCCGCGUUCGUAGGAAAAAAGGAAAACCAUGGACGAAUGGGCGAACGUUCGAUAAAGGGGAAGUCGAGAGGGAAACGACAGAAUCGCAACGAACGAAGCUCGAUUCUCUUGGAAAGUGUAGGUGGAGUCGAGUAGAUUAUCCGAGCAGACAGCGAAAUGGUAAAGUUGUCAGCCGACGGGUACGCGUCGGAGGGCAAAAGACGAGGCGAGAGAAAGCAGACUAUCUUUGAAAGAGGGAGAGACAGAAAGAAAAAGGAGGCGAUCCAACAGGAAACGAGGAGAGAAAGAAACGGAGAGAAAGCUUUUUAGGCCUUUCCUCGAAACACUGCAGACACAGCUGUGCGAAAACUGCAAUGACACGCCCCCUCGCCCCUAUCUCUCCCCUGUGCCCUCGUCUCUUUCGUCUUCCACCCUCGAGACGUCGAUGGUCAGGGAUAGGUUCUCCUGGAGCUCGACGAGCUUUGGCUAGGGAGCCAGGGUCGAUUCGAACCACCGCCGAGAGUUUUCGUUCCGUGAUGGGGGACCAACAUACGUGUACGUACCUCUACACCGACACAUAGCUAAAUAUAUACAAACAAACCUGAUGGAAGAUCACGGAGGAUCGUAUUUUUGUUGAUUUCCUAAUUUUAACAUCGCUGUAUAACUAACCAGGAGAAUUUUAACGAUACGUUUGAACACGAACAUUAGGAACUGGCUACGUAAAAGAAGUUGGUAUCACGAUAAUAAUCUUAGCGAUCAAAAUCUGUGGGUAUUUAAUAAACUGUAGAUACAUAAAUGUCA